CAGGGCGAAUAUGGCGAAUUUCAAGGAUGAGAAAACAUUUACCAUUAUGAGACUUCCAAGGCUGCAUUAUAUGUUAAAACCAUGAAACGAUUAGUCUACAAAGCCGACAAUAAAUAAAAUUGUCGACACAUAUCUUUGUUGUCGAGUGGUCGUUUUCAUCAUUCUCAUUAGACUUAAACUAAUAUAAAUGCAUGUAAUAUCGUGAUUUGACCGCUACGACGCUGUAGCGCUAGAGUGUAAUGCAGCCCUAACAAAUCUGCGAUAGAAGAAGAUGGAUGAAAAAACACAGCGCAGAUUAUGGCGAAGUGCAAAUGAAAGUUUUACAACACUUAAAACCAAGAAUGCUGUCGUGUGUAAUACAUAAAAGACAGAUAUUGCCUUUCACGGGAGCACAUGGUGCAUGUUGGAGCACUUAGGUGGGAGUGAUUCGGAGUCAUCGGAGAAGAGGACCAAAUCCUCUGAAAGAUGCAGAAAUCCAUGAACAAAAGGGCAAGGACAAAGACAACAUAACCAGAAAAUACAUUAAUCCCAUCAAAGCUCGUCCAUGAGCCUGUCGUUUCAGGAAGUGAAGUCACAUCUCCUAAAGAGGUUUGUUAAUAAUUUUUGUGA
Non-coding RNA from Misgurnus anguillicaudatus (oriental weatherfish), 609 nucleotides. The record is from RefSeq and is a predicted model, not a curated record. NCBI's taxonomy places the organism in Eukaryota, Metazoa, Chordata, Actinopteri, Cypriniformes, Cobitidae.